GCCCCUGUGGCGCAAUGGUAGCGCAUUCGAUUUGUAAUCGAAAGGUUAGGGGUUCGAGUCCCCUCUGGGGCU
This 72-nucleotide transfer RNA is filed under the name Chloroflexota bacterium. RNAcentral's name for it is "tRNA-Thr". It matches the Rfam family "tRNA". From Rfam's summary of the family: Transfer RNA (tRNA) molecules are approximately 80 nucleotides in length. Their secondary structure includes four short double-helical elements and three loops (D, anti-codon, and T loops). RNAcentral also lists the same sequence under 2 other names. The record is from RNAcentral. Lineage: Bacteria; Bacillati; Chloroflexota.